This 1686-nucleotide ribosomal RNA is filed under the name human oral metagenome. Its description in RNAcentral is "bacterial LSU rRNA". It matches the Rfam family "Bacterial large subunit ribosomal RNA", at positions 1128 to 2798 of the family's 2925-position model. The record is from RNAcentral.
GAAAGCGUAAUAGCUCACUAGUCGAGUCGGCCUGCGCGGAAGAUGUAACGGGGCUCAAAUAUAGCACCGAAGCUGCGGCAUCAGUAGCAAUACUGUUGGGUAGGGGAGCGUUCUGUAAGCGGAUGAAGGUGGCUCGAGAGGGUUGCUGGACGUAUCAGAAGUGCGAAUGCUGACAUAAGUAACGAUAAAACGGGUGAAAAACCCGUUCGCCGGAAGACCAAGGGUUCCUGUCCAACGUUAAUCGGGGCAGGGUGAGUCGGCCCCUAAGGCGAGGCUGAAAAGCGUAGUCGAUGGGAAACGGGUUAAUAUUCCCGUACUUGGAUAAACUGCGAUGUGGGGACGGAGUAGGUUAGGUUAUCGCACUGUUGGAUAUGUGCGUUUAAGUUUGUAGGUGUGAAGUUUAGGCAAAUCCGGACUUCUUUAACACUGAGAGAUGAUGACGAGGCUCUACGGAGCUGAAGUAACCGAUACCACACUUCCAGGAAAAGCCACUAAGCUUCAGGUUUAUCUAAACCGUACUGAAAACCGACACAGGUGGUCAGGUAGAGAAUACUCAGGCGCUUGAGAGAACUCGGGUGAAGGAACUAGGCAAAAUAGCACCGUAACUUCGGGAGAAGGUGCGCCGGCGUAGAUUGUAGUCCCUUGCGGAUGAAGGUUGAACCGGUCGAAGAUACCAGCUGGCUGCAACUGUUUAUUAAAAACACAGCACUCUGCAAACACGAAAGUGGACGUAUAGGGUGUGAUGCCUGCCCGGUGCUGGAAGGUUAAUUGAUGGUGUAAUCGAAAGAGAAGCUCCUGAUCGAAGCCCCAGUAAACGGCGGCCGUAACUAUAACGGUCCUAAGGUAGCGAAAUUCCUUGUCGGGUAAGUUCCGACCUGCACGAAUGGCAUAAUGAUGGCCAGGCUGUCUCCACCCGAGACUCAGUGAAAUUGAAAUCGCCGUGAAGAUGCGGUGUACCCGCGGCUAGACGGAAAGACCCCGUGAACCUUUACUAUAGCUUGACACUGAACAUUGAAUUUUGAUGUGUAGGAUAGGUGGGAGACUUUGAAGUAGUCACGCCAGUGAUUAUGGAGUCGUCCUUGAAAUACCACCCUUUAACGUUUGAUGUUCUAACGAAGAUUACGAAACGUGGUCUCGGACAGUGUCUGGUGGGUAGUUUGACUGGGGCGGUCUCCUCCCAAAGAGUAACGGAGGAGCACGAAGGUUUGCUAAUGACGGUCGGACAUCGUCAGGUUAGUGCAAUGGUAUAAGCAAGCUUAACUGCGAGACAGACAAGUCGAGCAGGUACGAAAGUAGGUCAUAGUGAUCCGGUGGUUCUGAAUGGAAGGGCCAUCGCUCAACGGAUAAAAGGUACUCCGGGGAUAACAGGCUGAUACCGCCCAAGAGUUCAUAUCGACGGCGGUGUUUGGCACCUCGAUGUCGGCUCAUCACAUCCUGGGGCUGAAGUAGGUCCCAAGGGUAUGGCUGUUCGCCAUUUAAAGUGGUACGCGAGCUGGGUUUAGAACGUCGUGAGACAGUUCGGUCCCUAUCUGCCGUGGGCGUUGGAGAAUUGAUUGGGGCUGCUCCUAGUACGAGAGGACCGGAGUGGACGCACCACUGGUGUUCCGGUUGUGUCGCCAGACGCAUUGCCGGGUAGCUAAGUGCGGAAGAGAUAAGUGCUGAAAGCAUCUAAGCACGAAACUUGCC